RNAcentral lists this long non-coding RNA (235 nucleotides) under Manihot esculenta (cassava). RNAcentral describes it as "long non-coding RNA (MESC_LNC010176)". The record is from RNAcentral. Lineage: Eukaryota; Viridiplantae; Streptophyta; Magnoliopsida; Malpighiales; Euphorbiaceae.
ACCCAAAUUUAUCCCGCACUUCAGCUUGUAGGGCAGCAAUUUUUAUAUCGGGCUGCUGUUCAAUUAAUGCAAAGAUGAAUGAACAAAUAAAAUUUUCAUCCAAUUGGCUAUGGUUUUUUGUCAACUGAGGAUUUGUACAUGUGUGCGGUCCACUGUAUCUCAUAAUUUUCCAUAUAUCCUCUCCUUCUUUCUUGGAUGCUCGAAGCUUCCAUGCACACCCACUGUCUUUGUCUUU